This 89-nucleotide unclassified non-coding RNA is filed under the name Pseudomonas fluorescens. The record is from RNAcentral. Lineage: Bacteria; Pseudomonadati; Pseudomonadota; Gammaproteobacteria; Pseudomonadales; Pseudomonadaceae.
UGUGGGAGCUGGCUUGCCUGCGAUGACGGUGUAUCAGUCACCCGAUGUAUGACUGAUGGGCCGCUAUCGCAGGCAAGCCAGCUCCCACA